GAGUGAUGGUGUGAUCUGGAGAUGGGGAGGUAUGCUUGUAGCUCUGAUGUAACAUGUAUGGUCUUCCAAUUUGAGGUGGGCUGUAAUGACUCGUCAGCUUGGGUAAACUCUACUCGCGCUACCUCAAUAGUACUCCUCUUGAGGAAUGCCCAUCCGUGUUAGCUGAUUGUGACACAUUUAUUUGCCCAGAAGUUUUGGUGCAUAUUGCUUUCUCCAAAGGGUCGCAUUGUUAAUGUAUGUUUUCAAGUUAAGUUGUCUUAUCUGAGAAUUUGUUCUUUUUUUCCCUACUUGUUGGCUAAGUUUUC
This 305-nucleotide unclassified non-coding RNA is filed under the name Hevea brasiliensis (rubber tree). The record is from RNAcentral. Lineage: Eukaryota; Viridiplantae; Streptophyta; Magnoliopsida; Malpighiales; Euphorbiaceae.